This 2316-nucleotide long non-coding RNA is filed under the name Lynx canadensis (Canada lynx). Its description in RNAcentral is "lncRNA (ENSLCNG00005018446.1)". The record is from RNAcentral. Lineage: Eukaryota; Metazoa; Chordata; Mammalia; Carnivora; Felidae.
GGCGGCGCGCAGGUGGCGCGGGGGACGCCGAGGCCGAACGUGAUACGGCCGGAAGGCCGGCGAGGAGGCCCACCAGGACGGGCGCAGGAAGAGGGAGGUUGGGCCGCUGCAGCUGAGGGUCCAAAAGCGGGGGACUCGGGGUCCCGGGGGAGGCCGACUCGGGGGGCCGCGCACCUGCCUCCCCGCCGGCUGCCGAUUCCUGCUGGCUGUCUGCGAGCCAUCCCGGGCCCCCGGGCGCUGCCCUGUGCGGCGGUGACCACCUGCCACCGAGGCGACGGGAACUCCCGUAACUUUUUUAUAUUCAGAUGUUGCGUUGGUAUUUUGUAUACGUUGGGCUAAAUUAAAAUGUUUGACUAGCUUCUAGAAAUUUUAAAAUAUCGGUUGUGCCUCCCACCCUAUUUUUGCUGGACGGCGCUGCCCUAGCCUGAUCCGCCGUCCCUUUCCGUCACUGCUCAAAGCCUCUGCCAGCACGUCUGCCUUUCCCUGGCAGCCCGCCCCACCCCCACCCCUGGAACAGACCGUUUGUCUCCAGGAAACCUUCCUCUUCAUUUGUAUUCGCUUCCUCUGUUGCGAAACGCCACCACCAGUAGCUUUGAGACUUCUCAUCAAUUUAAUAACAUGGCAGGAAGAAGAGAAACACGCCCACGUUAAAUGUACACGUUGGCUGUAAUAACAUCCUCAUUUCAGAAAUGGUAAGACAGAAAAAAACAUGCUUUCGUGCUUUUGAGAGUUCACAUUUGUCGAGUGGUUGCUUUUGGAGGGCAGGGCAUGUGUUCCUGUCUCUCCUGUGUGGGGCUGCCUCAACGGGUGUAUGCACUCCUGAAGGUCAAGGCCGUGUUCUCUGCUCUUCCCCCAGUGCCAGGGGAGCAAGGUUCACAGAGGUGCUUGUACCUGCUGGCGUCCGUGUCUUCACAGGGACGACUUGACAGGAGCUGGGACUUCGGGCAUAGAAAGGCGGUGAACGUGUGCCUGGCAGAUUUCGGAAGCGCUCGUGAGACCAGGGUUUAGGUGCCUAAAGAGCGGGGUUUGAGUUUCUUCUGCUGGGGACAGUGAAGAGAUCUAGACACCACGACGAUGAGUUUGUGCCAGCACGGAGGCAGCUUCGCCCCAGAGCAUACAGUCCCGACAAAGAUGAGAACGUUGGGAUCAAGGGGAGAGUGAAGCAGACAAGGGUGCAACGGCCGCGAAUGAGCCUCACUCUGGCCGAGUCUGCCUCCAUGGCUGCAGCUGAGGGCGGCCGAAACGCACCUCGAGGCGGGUGACUGGCCUCUGGCCUGACCCAGGCCCGGUAUUCCGAUACCUCAGCCACACCAACGUGCCUUCGCCUCAGGAUGCCUUUGCUCAGCUUGAAUUGGCCUCACGUACCAACCCGUGCAGGAGCAGCAGAGCGGGGGUCUCAGCUGGAAGGAGGCCUGGUUUGGGGGAGGCCCGAGACCCCCUGUUUCUGUGGGGUUGGUCCCGGAACGCAGGCUGGUUGACUGAAGGCCUCUGCAGGCCUCAGCUUUGAGGGGAGGGCCGGCUCGGUCUCAUUCUUCCUAAGACCCUCUCACAUACCUUCCAAAAUCAGCUCCAGAGAGAGGCAGUGGGGCGUGUUCACCUUGUGCCCCAGGCCAUGGGCCGGAAUGUGCCCUGGGAGGUUGGUGCCCCACCUGCCCCUGUGGUUGUGUCUCUGGGGACCCACACAACUACAGGACAUCCUCCAGGCGUCGCGUUCCCCGGAGAAGUUGCCCAUUAAAUAGCAGAUGUUUUGAUAAAUACCGUUCUCAAAAGCAGAGUUCUCAGAAUAAAACUGCCUUCCAAUGCGUGAUAGGGUUGGAAGGAGGGAUAGGGUCGGAUAGGGUGUGUGGAGGGAGUUAUGGCAGGUUCACGGACACCCCAGAAGUGCUCGCUGGGCCACUGAAAUCUGACUAGGUUCCCGGUCAGGCACUAUCCCGCGGUCCUCUUCCUGUGCAUGCUGGGGGCGAAGUGGUGAGCAUGCCCCCGGGGUGGGGGCUGCAGGCGUCCUGAUCGUGGAGUGGGACUGCACGGGGGCAUGAAGAUUAUCCUAAACCACAGUAUUCGGUGAUCAGUCACAUCAGGGGUCCUGACCUGGUGACCACGGCACCCUCCUCAGUGGAGGGGAGGGCCCAUCUUGGAGUGGAUGAGGAGGUGGCAGCUUGGGGAUUUCUGGGGGACGUGCAAGAGGACGGAAGGGAAGAGGGCCACAGACACUGGCUCCCAGACCGUAGACAGGUUCAGGGUGGAACCAGGAGGGUCAGAUUAGACUUGGGACCCAAGAGCCACGUCCUGCAGGCACCACCCUGUGUUGCCCCUCAG